RNAcentral lists this unclassified non-coding RNA (195 nucleotides) under Diaporthe melonis var. melonis. RNAcentral describes it as "partial ITS2". The record is from RNAcentral. Lineage: Eukaryota; Fungi; Ascomycota; Sordariomycetes; Diaporthales; Diaporthaceae.
GAAUUGCAGAAUUUCAGUUGAUAUCAUUCGUAAUCUUUGAGACGCACAUUGCGCGCCUCUGGUAUUUCCGGGAGGGCAAUGGCCUGUUUCUGAGCGUUCUAUUUUUCAACCCUCAAGCAUUUGACAUUUUGGGGUAGUUUUUGGAGAGUGUCCAACUGCUUUUUUAACUGGAACAUUGCCCUUUGAAAAAUCAUA